GACGAACGCUGGCGGCGUGCUUAACACAUGCAAGUCGAACGGAAAGGCCCUGCUUUUGUGGGGUGCUCGAGUGGCGAACGGGUGAGUAACACGUGAGUAACCUGCCCUUGACUUUGGGAUAACUUCAGGAAACUGGGGCUAAUACCGGAUAUGAGCUCCUGCUGCAUGGUGGGGGUUGGAAAGUUUCGGCGGUUGGGGAUGGACUCGCGGCUUAUCAGCUUGUUGGUGGGGUAGUGGCUUACGAAGGCUUUGACGGGUAGCCGGCCUGAGAGGGUGACCGGCCACAUUGGGACUGAGAUACGGCCCAGACUCCUACGGGAGGCAGCAGUGGGGAAUAUUGCACAAUGGGCGGAAGCCUGAUGCAGCAACGCCGCGUGCGGGAUGACGGCCUUCGGGUUGUAAACCGCUUUCGCCUGUGACGAAGCGUGAGUGACGGUAAUGGGUAAAGAAGCACCGGCUAACUACGUG
Molecule: ribosomal RNA, 468 nt
Filed under: uncultured bacterium
Lineage: Bacteria
Description: partial 16S ribosomal RNA
Rfam family: Bacterial small subunit ribosomal RNA
Source: RNAcentral